AAAAAAAAAAAAUAUUCAAUGUAUUAAGUUUAGAACUUAACCAAGUAGAUUUUUUAAUACUACAUUUAGUA
RNAcentral lists this transfer RNA (71 nucleotides) under Bemisia tabaci. RNAcentral's name for it is "tRNA-Leu". Lineage: Eukaryota; Metazoa; Arthropoda; Insecta; Hemiptera; Aleyrodidae. The record is from RNAcentral.